GAUGAAGAACGCAGCGAAAUGCGAUAAGUAAUGUGAAUUGCAGAAUUCAGUGAAUCAUCGAGUCUUUGAACGCACAUUGCGCCCCCUGGUAUUCCGGGGGGCAUGCCUGUCCGAGCGUCAUUGCCGCCCUCAAGCACGGCUUGUGUGUUGGGCCCCCGCCCCCCGGCUUCGGGGGGCGGGCCCGAAAGGCAGCGGCGGCACCGCGUCAGGUCCUCGAGCGUAUGGGGCUUCGUCACCCGCUCUGUAGGCCCGGCCGGCGCCCGCCGGCGACCCCAAUCAAUCUUUCCAGGUUGACCUCGGAUCAGGUAGGGAUACCCGCUGAACUUAAGCAUAUCAAUAAGCGGAGGA
This 348-nucleotide unclassified non-coding RNA is filed under the name soil metagenome. RNAcentral's name for it is "partial contains 5.8S ribosomal RNA, internal transcribed spacer 2, and large subunit ribosomal RNA". The stretch from base 1 to 120 matches the Rfam family "5.8S ribosomal RNA", at positions 35 to 154 of the family's 154-position model. The record is from RNAcentral.